Molecule: ribosomal RNA, 279 nt
Filed under: Triticum aestivum (bread wheat)
Lineage: Eukaryota; Viridiplantae; Streptophyta; Magnoliopsida; Poales; Poaceae
Description: partial small subunit ribosomal RNA
Source: RNAcentral
AUGUCAAGUUUUUGGUGGGGAGAUGAUGAUGAUCGUAAGAAAAUGCACUGGUGGGCAUGGUGGCGAAUGUGUAUCUCCAAGAAAAUUGGAGGUACGGGAAUCAUGGACUUACACUCUUUCAAUUUGGCUAUGUUGGCAAAGCAAAGUUGGAGAUUAUUAAGUAACCCGGAAUCGUUAUGUGCACGUGUCUUGAGAUCUAAAUACUACCCAGAUGGCAAUCUACUAAAAGCUGGCAAUAAGAAAGGUUCAUCUUUCACAUGGCAAAGCAUUGUUGUGGGA